Molecule: microRNA, 22 nt
Filed under: Xenoturbella bocki
Lineage: Eukaryota; Metazoa; Xenacoelomorpha; Xenoturbellidae
Description: Xbo-Mir-193-P1_3p (mature (co-guide))
Source: RNAcentral
UACUGGCCUGUAAAAUCUUUAA